GGGAUGAAAUCUAAAACCUGGAGGCACCCGAGAGUGACCAUUUAUUGAAAAAUUCAUAUCCUCUGGCAUUAUGAGUGAAGAAAAAAAAGAAUAAAAUCAAAAAAGAAAAGCUGCGGUAGAGUUAAGGGAAUAGGAUAAAGCAAAGGGAAGCCAGAAAUGAGAGACAAUAUUGACCAAGUGUUGAGUUGGGGGUGGUGUGCGUAAAGGGUAAUGCAGUCAUGAUAAUUUAUAAUGGUUGUAGGACACGGGAAGGGUCCAAGUAUA
RNAcentral lists this unclassified non-coding RNA (264 nucleotides) under Hevea brasiliensis (rubber tree). The record is from RNAcentral. Lineage: Eukaryota; Viridiplantae; Streptophyta; Magnoliopsida; Malpighiales; Euphorbiaceae.